CGUUGAUGACCCGCCAUAUGGUUUAGACUGCUUUCAUCGUAAUGGAGGAGGACGCCAAAGGGACACGGUGACUGUGUCAAUAGCAACUAACUUGAAAAGACUUGGGUGCAUCUGGGGAAGGACUUGUAGAGAUCAUGUAUUUAUAAAUAUAAAUUGAGUAAAAAAGGAGUUAAAAUAAUGUUUAUGGAUUUUUGUGGGUGUGCAUAAAAAGAAACGAAAGAAAACAAACAAUAACUCUCUUUUAACUCCAUAAGACAUACAUUUGUAAUACUUUGCUGUAUUGUGGGGUGUUACAAGGUUUAGGUGUUUGUUUAAACUUCCAAAAGAAGAACCAGCACAUCAGAACUGGUAGGAUUUUAUCUUCAGGAGCACGACAGACCCACCAGCAACUCUUCGUCAGUGACCGCCACUUCACAGAUGACUGCUUGAUAACCUCGGCAUGUAUCAAAGUGGUUUGGUCAAGAGACUAAAUCUUAGAGCCGGCACCAUUCCUACAAUCAAACCGGAUGAAGAGUCCAGACCUGCUUUGCUGCUCUUCAAAGAGAAAGGAAACAAACGUUUGGAGGACAUUCAUGGAGCUUUUGAUAAUCAAAGUUGCUCAAGAAUGUUCAGCAGAAUUCCAUCUCAGGUCAAACCGACCACAUCCUCUGCUCCUCGCUCAGGUUGACUGCUGGGAGCUGGUCUGCAUCUCAUUUGCCCCCACAUUUUUUCUCACCACAGCUGUUAAACCAGGGAUGUGUCUCUUGAAGUUUUUUUCUGUCACAGUGAAAUGAUUAAAUUGACACUUUGUGAGCUAAAUUUGA
Long non-coding RNA from Oryzias melastigma (Indian medaka), 803 nucleotides. RefSeq lists it as uncharacterized. The transcript is spliced from 2 exons. Lineage: Eukaryota; Metazoa; Chordata; Actinopteri; Beloniformes; Adrianichthyidae. The record is from RefSeq and is a predicted model, not a curated record.